AUAAAUAAAUAGAAUCUUUAAAAAAAAAAAAAAAAAAAAAUAGCCAGCCACCUCUACUUUAUCUUUUAAACUUCCAGUUUUAAAACUGGACAGCAACAUGCAAAAGAAGAGGUGGGAAAAACCUCCAAUUUUUAAUAAGUAAUGCUUUAAAUGCUUUGUGAAAAUACCAAACUUCUUUUCUAAGAUAGGUUCAACGCCAGCCCUAUGGUUAAGAGAAUGUCUGAAGGGACUGUCAGUAUAAGCAGAGGAGAAAGUUUACCCUAAGUGAGCUGUAAAACUCAUCCAACACCAGGCUCAUUGAACGAGUCAGGUUACUGACAUAUGUAGUCUCUUGAUUCAAGGCAUCUUGGAAAGCUUCAAAAUCUUGCAUCCAUUCCACUGCAAAGCUGUGAUCAAUGAUGUCAGUCUGUACCAAACAGAAGACAAUUAUCAGCAAUCAGAGGUGUGUUUAGAUACCAAACAACGUCAAAAAAUUUUUAAUUACAUGCCAACCACAAAGCAAUUAUUCGUAUUUUUUUUUCUCUGCUUCUCCCAUUUCCUCCUCCACUACAACAAACCAUAAAGGACCACGGCUACUGUAAAUAAAUGAACAUAUGUGUUCUCUUGGUUGAAGCCGACCCUUCACUAUCCACUGCCAAGUGACCAUGACCACAGUAGAUGCCAGCACAUUCUAGGCUCUGAAGUCAUGUACUCUCUUGAAUCCUUGCUGUCGACUCAAGAAAAGUGAAGUUUUCUGUUUUAAUUGCUCUGCCAAUUAACAAGCAGUCCCUCCCCCAUAUACAUAGUUGUGAUUCUGAGGGAUAACCUAUACACUAUGAUUGAGGGGCUACUCUAUCCAGUUUUAAAUUACUCUGAGGAGAGCCAGUAAUAAAUAUUCAUUUAAUUCGACUGAAUCUUUUUCCUACAAACGCUCAUGACUUUGUUUCAGUUAAGUUUGAAUCUAUUCUCCGACAUGUGAAAAUCCUCACCUACCCAAACCCCUAAACCUUCCAAUAACACAAGGUUCUGAUGAAAAAGAAAUACUAAACCACAAAAGGAAGGAACCACUUACUUUAUUCAUAACCACAAUGAAAGGCAGCUUGGUUUUGUACAAGAUGCUGAAAAUCAAACAUCAAGACGUUAUCAGUGAAAGCACUUAAGCUCUUGCUUACCCAAGUGUCAGUCUGGUAGAACCGAGUAACGAGAACUGGAAUGGGUUCAGACGCUACAUAUAGCUAUCCAUCCUGACACAGCCCUCACAAUCUACUCUCCCAAAGGAAGAGGUACUUCACCGCUACCAUUAGGCAAACAGCACACAUACGUUCUCUUUCUUUCUUGGGGUAAUAAUGCUUUGAUAUUCAUCUGGUUUUCUGUGUAUGGUUUUUUAGUCUGGUUGUUUCUACCAAAUAAUUGUCUCUUUUAAACAAUAUAUAUGGAAACAACGCUGUCAGACAUCAGAUUUCUAUUUGGACUACAAUUUAUUGCAUCUACCAAGAAGGUAUAUCCCUAGUCAUAGGAGAAGGCACAAAUGCUGGUGAUGGCUUUUAUGUAUCCACCAAAUCAAAUUCUCUCAAAUUUCAUAAUAAUUUCCCUUGCUCUAUGUCGAAUGCACUCACAUACCCUAGUAAGCCAUGUCUCUCUGUCCGUAAUGACACCAAGUUGGGGCAAACUUGUGCUUUUUGGAAUCAUAGAUAAAUCUCUUUAUUCACAAUCUCUCAUUUUAUAAUUUAAGUCUACAUGUCAUAACACAGAAAAGGAACAUUUAGAUCAGAGGGCUCUAUUCUAUUUAGACUCGUUUCAUUCAACUGCGAGCAACUACCAAAAGGUUCGUGUUCAUACACUACCUGUUUCUGUAACAAGCAAAGGGGGAAGAUGAGAAGCUGGUCAAAGAGAAUGCUAACACAUAUGCCUCUUUUCUCAUCUAAUCUCUCCCCAGCUCACAACUACUAAACUGAGGGGCACAUCUGAAUGAGCACAAAUCCAGAGCCCGAUGGUAUCCUGAAAUCCUUGAGACACGUCAACUACAGAGUAAUAAACAGGUGUUAAGCCAAAAGCACUUACUUAGACAUGUUCUGGGCCUUCUCAAUAAAUUUCAUCACCUGAAAGAAAAAAGAUGCCAAUUAAAAACAGGAUCCAUCUUCAAUACAAAAAUCACCGUUUCCAGGGCGGCCCACCUUAUAAGCAACUAUCAACUACUGAAUCUCUAAUCUCUGUUCUCAGUCUUAGGACACCAACUAAUAAACUCCAUGAACUAAGGAAACACAGUCACAUCAGCAGCACUGACACACCCCAACACCCCAGAGUGUACUGCAGGGUCCUGAGAAGCUGAAGACGAUCUCUCACUUUCGGGUCAUAUCUCUUAGUACUUUGGUAUAAAAUGUUUAACAGCCUGUCUCUUGGAGUGACAUGAGGGUAAAAAAUUCAUGAUUACAAAACACCACUCUUGUAGAAGUAGGAGAAAAACCUAAACAGUGACAAUUUAUCUGUCACAUGUAAAAAAGCCCCAUUAUCUUUCCAUUCCAUGCCUGCUACCCCUCCCACUCCCCAAUCCUUCCCUCCAUCCUCAAGGUGACACUAUAAGCCAAGAUCAAGAAAAGAACCUAGAUUUUUGUUUUAUUGGCCAUCACCAAUAUUAAAUGUGAAGUGUCUCAC
Molecule: long non-coding RNA, 2631 nt
Organism: Canis lupus familiaris (dog)
Lineage: Eukaryota; Metazoa; Chordata; Mammalia; Carnivora; Canidae
Exons: 2
Source: RefSeq, a predicted model, not a curated record